RNAcentral lists this non-coding RNA (206 nucleotides) under Palpitomonas bilix. The record is from RNAcentral.
ACAGAAAGAAGAAAAUAAAAAAAAAAAAGAAAGAGAUAAAAAAUAAGCGAAAGGAGGAGAGGACAGUUUGAGUAGGGCUUUGCACACUAUUACUAUUUUCAGCCCUUUCUGUUUUCUUUUGUCAUUUUUGGUGUAAUCAUGGCGGAAAUGCCAGCUACCAUCUCUGCUGAGCUUGUGAAAGAGCUGAAAGGAUCGACUGAACUGCC